GAAGUAAGCUGGGCAAUCGCCGGUGCAUGGCCGAAAGGCAGCACGGGAGGAAAGUCCGAGCUCCACAGGGCAGGGUGCCGGAUAACGUCCGGCGAGAGCGAUCUCAGGGAAAGUGCCACAGAAAUGAAGACCGCCGAUGGCCUGAUGCAGGCACAGGCAAGGAUGCAACGGUGCGGUAAGAGCGCACCAGCAGUCCGGAGACGGGCUGGCUAGGUAAACCCCACCUGGAGCAAGACCGGAUAGGAGUGCUGAUGUGGUGGCCCGCCACGCACUCGGGUUGGUCGCUUGAGCCGACUGGCAACAGUCGGCCUAGAUAGAUGAUUGCUGCUCCAACGUGCGAGGCCGCCACGUGCGUGCCGCUUGCAGCACAGGAGUACAGAACUCGGCUUACAGGCUUGCUUCUUCG
Molecule: RNase P RNA, 406 nt
Filed under: Alicyclobacillus sacchari
Lineage: Bacteria; Bacillati; Bacillota; Bacilli; Caryophanales; Alicyclobacillaceae
Description: Bacterial RNase P class A
Rfam family: Bacterial RNase P class A
About the family: Ribonuclease P (RNase P) is a ubiquitous endoribonuclease, found in archaea, bacteria and eukarya as well as chloroplasts and mitochondria.
Source: RNAcentral